RNAcentral lists this ribosomal RNA (253 nucleotides) under uncultured bacterium. RNAcentral describes it as "partial 16S ribosomal RNA". It matches the Rfam family "Bacterial small subunit ribosomal RNA", at positions 524 to 776 of the family's 1533-position model. The record is from RNAcentral.
CACGUAGGGCGCGAGCGUUGUCCGGAAUUAUUGGGCGUAAAGAGCUCGUAGGCGGCCUGUUGCGUCCGCUGUGAAAGCCCGGGGCUUAACCCCGGGUCGGCAGUGGAUACGGGCAGGCUAGAGGUAGGUAGGGGAGAAUGGAAUUCCCGGUGUAGCGGUGAAAUGCGCAGAUAUCGGGAGGAACACCGGUGGCGAAGGCGGUUCUCUGGGCCGAUACUGACACUGAGAAGCGAAAGCGUGGGGAGCGAACAGG